RNAcentral lists this non-coding RNA (92 nucleotides) under Rossellomorea vietnamensis. RNAcentral describes it as "Bacillus vietnamensis Glycine sequence". It matches the Rfam family "Glycine riboswitch aptamer". From Rfam's summary of the family: This family represents the bacterial glycine riboswitch. Glycine riboswitches usually consist of two metabolite-binding aptamers domains with similar structures in tandem. The aptamers cooperatively bind glycine to regulate the expression of downstream genes. The record is from Rfam by way of RNAcentral. Lineage: Bacteria; Bacillati; Bacillota; Bacilli; Caryophanales; Bacillaceae.
AUGAUGACAAGGGGAGAGACUGUGCAUACAGCGCCGAAGGAGCAAGCACGUUUCCGUGUGAAUCUCUCAGGCAAAAAGACUCUUGUUGGACG